RNAcentral lists this ribosomal RNA (1070 nucleotides) under uncultured bacterium. RNAcentral's name for it is "bacterial SSU rRNA". It matches the Rfam family "Bacterial small subunit ribosomal RNA", at positions 505 to 1501 of the family's 1533-position model. The record is from RNAcentral.
GUGGCAGGGGCGGCGGUAAUACGGAGGGUGCAAGCGUUGCCCGGAUUUAUUGGGCGUAAAGGGUCCGCAGGCGUCUUGGUAAGUUAUUUUUCAAAUACUGGAGCUCAACUCCAGCCAGGGAAGUAAUACUGCCAGGAUAGAGAUAUUUAGGGGCUACUGGAACUAUCGGUGUAGGGGUGAAAUCCGUUGAUAUCGAUAGGAACUCCAAGGGCGAAGGCAAGUAGCUGGGAAUUAUCUGACGCUCAGGGACGAAAGCUAGGGUAGCGAAAGGGAUUAGAGACCCCUGUAGUCCUAGCCGUAAACGAUGCUCGCUAGCUCAUGGAUUAUUUCAUGGGCGUAAGCUAACGCGUGAAGCGAGCCGCCUGGGGAGUACGGCCGCAAGGCUAAAACUCAAAGGAAUUGACGGGGACCUGCACAACCAGUGGAGCAUGUGGUUUAAUUCGAGACGAACCGAAGAACCUUACCCGGGUUUGACAUUCUAUUCUUAAUGUCUUACCAGAGAUGGUUAGAACUAUCGCACUUGUGUGAUAGGGAUAGAACAGGUGUUGCAUGGCCGUCGUCAGCUCGUGCCGUGGGGUGUUCCCUUAAGUGGGGUAACGAGCGCAACCCCUUUCGUAUGUUAAAUUUCCAUACGAGACUGGUCGCCUAGUGCGACAGGAAGUGGGGACGACGUCAGGUCAGCAUGACCCUUAUGUCCGGGGCUACACACAUGCUACAAUGGAGCCGACAAUGGGUUGCCAAGCCGUAAGGCGGAGCUAAUCCCAUCAAACGGCUUCUCAGUUGGGAUUGAGGGCUGCAACUUGCCCUCAUGAACUUGGAAUUGGUAGUAAUCGCGAAUCAGCCAAGUCGCGGUGAAUACGUUCUCAGGUCUUGUACACACCGCCCGUCAAGUCAGCAAAGUUGGGGGUACCCGAACCCCGUCUGCUUGCUAAUGAAACUUCUAGAUAUAAAUUAAGACAUUACUUUUUCGUUUGUUAAUUUGAUAUUUAGUUUACUAAUAAUUAUUUCGUUGGCAGCCAGACGGGGGAAGGUAAAUCCAGCGAUGAGGAUUAAGUCGUAACAAGGUAACC